Molecule: transfer RNA, 74 nt
Filed under: Candidatus Magasanikbacteria bacterium CG11_big_fil_rev_8_21_14_0_20_39_34
Lineage: Bacteria; Candidatus Magasanikiibacteriota
Description: tRNA-Trp
Rfam family: tRNA
About the family: Transfer RNA (tRNA) molecules are approximately 80 nucleotides in length. Their secondary structure includes four short double-helical elements and three loops (D, anti-codon, and T loops). Further hydrogen bonds mediate the characteristic L-shaped molecular structure. tRNAs have two regions of fundamental functional importance: the anti-codon, which is responsible for specific mRNA codon recognition, and the 3' end, to which the tRNAs corresponding amino acid is attached (by aminoacyl-tRNA synthetases). tRNAs cope with the degeneracy of the genetic code in two manners: having more than one tRNA (with a specific anti-codon) for a particular amino acid; and 'wobble' base-pairing, i.e. permitting non-standard base-pairing at the 3rd anti-codon position.
Source: RNAcentral
GGGCGAGUCGUAUAAUGGUAGUACAUUGGUCUCCAAAACCAAUUGCGUGGGUUCGAUUCCUACCUCGCCUGCCA